UACGUAGGGGGGCAAGCGUUGUCCGGAUUUACUGGGCGUAAAGAGCGCGUAGGCGGAGCGUUUAAGUCCGAUCUGAAAGCCCCCCGGCUCAACCGGGGAGAGUGGUUGGAAACUGGCGCUCUUGAGGGCGAUAGAGGAGGGUGGAAUUCCUGGUGUAGCGGUGAAAUGCGUAGAGAUCAGGAGGAACACCAGUGGCGAAGGCGGCCUCUGGUCGACCCUGACGCUGAGGCGCGAAAGCGUGGGGAGCGAACGGG
RNAcentral lists this ribosomal RNA (254 nucleotides) under uncultured bacterium. Its description in RNAcentral is "partial 16S ribosomal RNA". It matches the Rfam family "Bacterial small subunit ribosomal RNA", at positions 524 to 776 of the family's 1533-position model. The record is from RNAcentral.